UGGGGAAUUUUGGACAAUGGGCGAAAGCCUGAUCCAGCCAUGCCGCGUGAGUGAGGAAGGCCUUCGGGUUGUAAAGCUCUUUUAGUCGGAAAGAAAGAGUUGCAAUGAAUAAUUGUGAUUUAUGACGGUACCGACAGAAAAAGCACCGGCUAACUACGUGCCAGCAGCCGCGGUAAUACGUAGGGUGCGAGCGUUAAUCGGAAUUACUGGGCGUAAAGGGUGCGCAGGCGGUCUUGCAAGUCAGAUGUGAAAGCCCCGGGCUUAACCUGGGAAUUGCGUUUGAAACUACAAGGCUAGAGUGCAGCAGAGGGGAGUGGAAUUCCAUGUGUAGCAGUGAAAUGCGUAGAGAUGUGGAAGAACACCGAUGGCGAAGGCAGCUCCCUGGGUUGACACUGACGCUCAUGCACGAAAGCGUGGGGAGCAAACA
This 427-nucleotide ribosomal RNA is filed under the name uncultured bacterium. Its description in RNAcentral is "bacterial SSU rRNA". It matches the Rfam family "Bacterial small subunit ribosomal RNA", at positions 355 to 774 of the family's 1533-position model. The record is from RNAcentral.